RNAcentral lists this ribosomal RNA (460 nucleotides) under uncultured bacterium. Its description in RNAcentral is "partial 16S ribosomal RNA". It matches the Rfam family "Bacterial small subunit ribosomal RNA", at positions 338 to 795 of the family's 1533-position model. The record is from RNAcentral.
CCUACGGGUGGCUGCAGUGAGGAAUAUUGGUCAAUGGGCGUAAGCCUGAACCAGCCAAGUCGCGUGAGGGAUGAAGGUUCUAUGGAUUGUAAACUUCUUUUAUAAGGGAAUAAAGUGUGGGACGUGUCCUAUUUUGUAUGUACCUUAUGAAUAAGGAUCGGCUAACUCCGUGCCAGCAGCCGCGGUAAUACGGAGGAUCCGAGCGUUAUCCGGAUUUAUUGGGUUUAAAGGGUGCGUAGGCGGCCUUUUAAGUCAGCGGUGAAAGUUUGUGGCUCAACCAUAGAAUUGCCGUUGAUACUGGGGGGCUUGAGGAUGUUUGAGGCAGGCGGAAUGCGUGGUGUAGCGGUGAAAUGCUUAGAUAUCACGCAGAACCCCGAUUGCGAAGGCAGCCUGCCAAGCCAUGACUGACGCUGAUGCACGAAAGCGUGGGGAUCAAACAGGAUUAGAUACCCUGGUAGUC